This 497-nucleotide ribosomal RNA is filed under the name uncultured bacterium. RNAcentral describes it as "partial 16S ribosomal RNA". It matches the Rfam family "Bacterial small subunit ribosomal RNA", at positions 28 to 507 of the family's 1533-position model. The record is from RNAcentral.
GAUGAACGCUGGCGGCGUGCCUAAUACAUGCAAGUCGAGCGAACAGAUGAGGAGCUUGCUCCUCUGACGUUAGCGGCGGACGGGUGAGUAACACGUGGAUAACCUACCUAUAAGACUGGGAUAACUUCGGGAAACCGGAGCUAAUACCGGAUAAUAUAUUGAACCGCAUGGUUCAAUAGUGAAAGACGGUUUUGCUGUCACUUAUAGAUGGAUCCGCGCCGCAUUAGUUAGUUGGUAAGGUAACGGCUUACCAAGGCAACGAUGCGUAGCCGACGUGAGAGGGUGAUCGGCCACACUGGAACUGAGACACGGUCCAGACUCCUACGGGAGGCAGCAGUAGGGAAUCUUCCGCAAUGGGCGAAAGCCUGACGGAGCAACGCCGCGUGAGUGAUGAAGGUCUUCGGAUCGUAAAACUCUGUUAUUAGGGAAGAACAAAUGUGUAAGUAACUAUGCACGUCUUGACGGUACCUAAUCAGAAAGCCACGGCUAACUACGUG